UACCGAGUUUACAACUCCCAAACCCCUGUGAACAUACCACUUGUUGCCUCGGCGGAUCAGCCCGCUCCCGGUAAAACGGGACGGCCCGCCAGAGGACCCCUAAACUCUGUUUCUAUAUGUAACUUCUGAGUAAAACCAUAAAUAAAUCAAAACUUUCAACAACGGAUCUCUUGGUUCUGGCAUCGAUGAAGAACGCAGCAAAAUGCGAUAAGUAAUGUGAAUUGCAGAAUUCAGUGAAUCAUCGAAUCUUUGAACGCACAUUGCGCCCGCCAGUAUUCUGGCGGGCAUGCCUGUUCGAGCGUCAUUUCAACCCUCAAGCCCUCGGGUUUGGUGUUGGGGAUCGGCGAGCCCUUGCGGCAAGCCGGCCCCGAAAUCUAGUGGCGGUCUCGCUGCAGCCUCCAUUGCGUAGUAGUAAAACCCUCGCAACUGGAACGCGGCGCGGCCAAGCCGUUAAACCCCCAACUUCUGAAUGUUGACCUCGGAUCAGGUAGGAAUACCCGCUGAACUUAAGCAUA
Molecule: ribosomal RNA, 515 nt
Filed under: Fusarium commune
Lineage: Eukaryota; Fungi; Ascomycota; Sordariomycetes; Hypocreales; Nectriaceae
Description: eukaryotic LSU rRNA
Rfam family: 5.8S ribosomal RNA (bases 151-304)
Source: RNAcentral